Molecule: small RNA, 998 nt
Filed under: Histoplasma capsulatum var. duboisii H88
Lineage: Eukaryota; Fungi; Ascomycota; Eurotiomycetes; Onygenales; Ajellomycetaceae
Description: Histoplasma capsulatum H88 hypothetical RNA
Source: RNAcentral
ACUGAAAUGGAAGCUUCGGCACAGAUUUUACCCGCAGGUUAGUUUAAGCUUCUAUCAACCCUUGUGCUUAAUCGAGCGUUUGAUGGGUACAAUUGACCUUCCCUCCGCUCUCUGCGCAUCUGUCAACAUUCACAAGCUCCUGUUUGAUAAAGCGUGAUAAUCCUUCCCUAUAGCCACCUCAAUCACUACUACCAUGGGCCACAUUCCAAAGUUUCUGUGUGCUUACUCGUCUCUGCCUGAAACGGUAAUUUUUACCAUGCCUCCUGAUUCUUCGGUCAUUUACGGAGUAUCGAUGGACGAACAAUCAAACUGCCCGGCUCUUUCAGCCCAUCUCAUCUAAACCAUCAAACAAUACUAAGGCCCACAGAUUAAAGAUUUCCAGCAAGUUUCAAGAACAACCCCCCCCCGGAUAUCCUUGCCAAUCAUCUUCUCCUCGUUUCUUGUGUGCAAGGUCAUCCCACCAGCCAAGAUUUGAUCGCUGUGGCUUCACCACCGAUUUCCCUAUAUAGGCUGACGAGAAGAUCAGGUUCGGGAGCACUUUUGGUUGGGAGAGCAUAGUCUGACUGGAGGGACUAAAGUUGUUAAUGGUGCAUAACUGUAGAUCUUUUGCUGAUUGAAGGGUACCACAAAUUCUCACAUUCUGUCGAUAUUUUUUUAUUGUGUACAGAGUCAAGGUUUAUGCGAUGGUCCAUUUGGCUGCUGUUUGAGUUGACUUUCCAGGGAUAUCAUGUAUCUCCAAGACAUACCUUGUGGGUCUCCAGGCUCAGCUCUCCAAGGCAGCUUUUUUCAAAACUACUAGUAUUUUAGAUUGGGUGCAUUUUCACAUAUUCAAUAUGACGACAACCAUGGAUAAGCGCUCAUAAACAUCUUGUCAUUGUAAACUCUUAUCAUUUGUGGAUAUGCAUCAAAAGUAGUCUAACAAUUGCAAAAAGGGUAGAAUAUGAAGGCUCCAGGCCGGGUGCUAGUCAAAUCAAACAGUACAAAGCAGAGAGGGGGAA